AGCGAACGCUGGCGGCAGGCCUAACACAUGCAAGUCGAACGAACCUUUCGGGGUUAGUGGCGGACGGGUGAGUAACACGUGGGAACGUGCCUUUAGGUUCGGAAUAACUCAGGGAAACUUGUGCUAAUACCGAAUGUGCCCUUCGGGGGAAAGAUUUAUCGCCUUUAGAGCGGCCCGCGUCUGAUUAGCUAGUUGGUUGAGGUAAUGGCUCACCAAGGCGACGAUCAGUAGCUGGUCUGAGAGGAUGAUCAGCCACAUUGGGACUGAGACACGGCCCAAACUCCUACGGGAGGCAGCAGUGGGGAAUAUUGCGCAAUGGGCGAAAGCCUGACGCAGCCAUGCCGCGUGAAUGAUGAAGGUCUUAGGAAUGUAAAAUUCUUUCACCGGGGACGAUAAUGACGGUACCCGGCGAAGAAGCCCCGGCUAACUUCGUG
This 434-nucleotide ribosomal RNA is filed under the name uncultured bacterium. Its description in RNAcentral is "partial 16S ribosomal RNA". It matches the Rfam family "Bacterial small subunit ribosomal RNA", at positions 29 to 507 of the family's 1533-position model. The record is from RNAcentral.